UUCCUUUCUUUCCCCUGGCUGCAAGUGCUGUUCCUUUAUUUCCUAAAUAUAGUGCUCACUUCAAUUUCCAAUCCUCUUUGUUUUCUCAUAUGACAAAAACAGUGUGCUUUGGCAUUUUUGUCUAUUUGGGAGCUCUUGGCCAUCAGAGAUGUUACCAGGUAUCAAUGUGUGGAAGUGGUUCUCAUCAAUCUCCUUCCAAGCCCUGGAUUUUGGGGAAAAGGUGUAUGUUGCUGGUGAGAAAAAUAUGGUAUAUACAACUGUAGCAAACAUCCAUGUGCAUCUCGCUCAUUGGAGUCGUAGCCCUCUUUGAAGUAAAAGCCUGAACAAUCAGCAUUGUGUCUUUCGUUUGGGAACUUGGUGUGAAUAAACUGGCUUGUGAACCAUCUGGGUGCAGAUAAUCUGGGUUUAACUGUAAAUUCCACCUGCUGCAAAUGAAGUUAACCGGCGGCUAUGGAGCUGGUGGGGCUAGGCAGGUCACAGGUUCCUGGAUAACGACCCACACUUUCACACAGGGGACAUGCUUGGGAGGGAUGGGCUACAUCUCUCCCCUAAAGGCAAGUGUGUCUUUUCUUCCAGGUUGGCUGAUCUCGUACAGCGUGCUUUAAACUAGCUUCACCGGGGAAUGGGGCCACAGGAGGACACCUCCCAACCAAGACAGGUGACAAGCACAAGGAGUACCCGGGACUGGGACUCCCCCACCGAGAUUCAGGAUGGACUCAGAAGAGACUCCACCAGGCCUAGGGUCAGGGAGGACCAAGGGAAAACCAAGAUCCCUGAUGACCCGAGUUACGCAUUCAGAGUUGAUUCUGCCUUGAGAUGUGCUGGGAGAAUGAAGGCGAAGAAGACUUGCACUCACCGGAAGCCCGCUGUCUCCAGGCACCCUGCCCUACAAGAGAGAGAGAAGCUGCCAUGUGUUUUUGCUGCUUCUUUGUUAUCUAGGAAGAAGCAAAGCAAAGCUCCAAGCUUGGCCCAGUGCAGUCAGUGGUGCAAGAGCUGAGGACAGUUUUGAUACCUUUGGCCCUGAGCUGAGAGAACCGAGGCAACCACCAUUUCCCAUCUGUUUCAAUGGGCUGGGAUGAGGUCCCUUGUGCAGCUUCACUGGGGAGUUGCGUGGGGCUGGAGCAGCAAUGAUGAGGGUGGGGUUUCCAAAGGGCCCCAUACCCGGAAGCCCUGACGAUGCAGUUCUGGCAUAUGCUUCUCUACAGGGCUCAGCCCCAGCCACAUACACCGGUGCCCUUCAUAUGCAGGGAACACUUCCUAUAGGCAGUGUGGCGGGCCACUAAGGGGUGCUCUAGCCCUGAGCCACCCGCCUCAUUGUGCCUGACCAAAAACCAUGCUUCCAGUGUCUUCCCUGGGGCGCCACCCCCUUUCCUGUAACACGCCUGCAAGUCGGGUAAGCGCUGCCACCACGCGGGCCCUGGUGUUUGUUAGGGCUCUCUGCAGCCUGGGGUACAUAGGCCUGGUUGACCUUGGUGCUUAGCCCACUGUGGUAUUUUGGGGUGCUUCUUUUAGCCUGAAGCAUUCACAAGUAGCCUCCUGUAUGGGAGGAAAGCAAAAAGCCAUGCCCACUUUAGCCAGCUGAAUGAAACAGGCUUUAAAGGCUAGUCUCACCCUCAUAAGCUUUUACAGCAAGGCGUGCUAUAACAAAUAGCUUAACUGAUCAAAGAGGGAGAGAGCGAGGAAGGAAUACAAAACAACGGAAAAUUGAAAGAAAACCUACUUGAGCAAAACAGAAUGGGCAUGUUGGGCCUUUUGAUACGCGUCUAGUUCACUUAAUCCUAAAUUACUGUCUGCAUUUCAAGUAAGUUACUCACAUGUCCAUUCAGAGACCGAUGGAGCUCUGGAGGCUUGUUGCUUGUUUCAAGGUCCCAAAGAUGACUUCCCCUUCCAAAAUGGAGUGACCCCCUUUUAUAACCUUUGUGACUUCAUCAUUAAGUCCCAACCAGAAACAGGCAGUAUUGGGUGUAGACCAGUCCUUUUAAAAGUUGUCCUCAUCUUUGGGUAGAGAGACCAGGGUCACAAAACUGGUCCAGCAGGUCCCUGGGCAGGAACCUCAGGACAAAGGAUUUUAUAUAGCCCAGUCUACUAGGUGGCUAGGCUCGGUUGCUUAGGCAACCAGGCAGUGUGAAUUGGAGACAGAGGGGUUUGGGCUUUCCCCUUACAGAAGUGGGGCAGACGGGAUGAUUUCUUCACAGGUGGUAUCUCCGUAUUGGAUCUCUGGGUUCUUCUACGAGGAACUGAAGUUGGAGGAUGUAGUUCCCUGCUGCUGCUGCUCUUCCCCAGCUUUCCAGACUUUAGUCCCAUAAGGCUCUCCUAUGCCUACAGCUGUCAGUGUGUAAGAACUACUGAGGACAGUUUUCAAUCACACCUGGACCUCUGCCGCUGAAGCCAAGGGAGCGCUUUUCCCCUUAGGGUUCACAGAGCUUUGGAUCCAUCCACGGGAGAGGGAAGAAGCUCAAGACAGGUGGGAGCAGAGAGCUUUCUAGCACUUGUCACUUCCUCCCCUUCUCAGUCAUCCUUUGCUGAGCUCAGCUCCCCUUCCCAAGGAGCCCAGAGAGAUCGUCCACCUUGAGAUGUAAAGGCAGAAUUAAGCAAAAGGAGACAUGCACUCAUUACAAUUGGGCCAGCCAUAGGCAGCUCAAAAAGACCCUAAAAGAGAGAGGAGAAGGUACCGUGCCUUCUUGCAGGUGCCCCAAAAUGCAAUUAUGUGGCCAGAAAGCCAGUUUUUCUAUGGGGAUGUCAGAAACCCAACCCCAAAGCAAUAAGAAGUAUGGGGGGCUCUUUGAAUCUCACCCCAUUGUUGUUGAAGCUGUCAUCACCCGCUGCAUUGUUAUUGAAGCUGCCAGAGUUCUGCAAAAAAGAUUGGGAAGUUUCUUAUUCUCAGCCUUGUUCCAUAGGCUUUAAAAGAGGAUGGGUCCCAUAAGUAAAAGCCUGGCCCCAUUGAAAGCAACAGCAAAACUCCUCCUAAUUUCAACUGAUUCAGGAUUUUGUUAUCUAGCGAUGCAGGAGAACUGAGUUAUAUCCUUCUCUCUGCAUCUUGCACCAAGGGGAAGGGGCACCUGGCUCCCAAUCCCAGCUGGGACAGGGACCGUCUCAAUGUGCAUCCAUGUAGCAUCCCUCUUAAUGGACCCUGAUCUAAAUGGAAAUGUCUAGGUGCAGUUGUGCUAUAAAUCGUCAUCUUACCCAUGGGGCUGCUCUGGUGCCCUCCAGAGGGAGGAGGCAGAUGGCGAGGAAAGCAGCAAGGAUCUGCACCUUCAUCUUGGCUUCUUUUGCUCUCUGGAGCUGGAUGCUUUCAGCCGUGGAAUUUUGAGGUGAUAGGUGGGGAGAAUGACCGCUGUAUUUAUGCCAUGCUGCACCUUGCGUUACAGACCUCACUGUGCCAAGCCCUGAUAAUGUGAUUGCAGUGAGAAGCAAUAGCUUUCUUUUCCUUUCCUAGACUUUCCUGCAGUUUCUUCUCCCCCACCUUAUGCUAUCAGUCUCUCUUAAUCUUUCCCCAGCACUGUCUUCUGUCCCAACUUUAAUUUACUUCUUCCCUUCUUCCCCUGUCUCAGGUUGUGUCAAGAGAUACAAGUCACAAUCCCAAUGGUCUAGAGCACAGAAAGUUGCAUCAUUGUAAGGCAGGAUUUUACAUGGAUUUUGUUAAGACGGUGUAGUGGUAGACGUAGACAGUGUUAAAGCAGUUUAAACCUGGCUUCUAUCAGUUUGGUGUAUGUGAGUGAACUUAAACCUUGGUUAAAAUGAUCCGAAGUGGUGGAAUGAAUUCGGAAUCUAUGUCCUGUGUUGAGCAGUGAUGUAAAUAGUGAGGCCUGCAGGUCUUUAAAUGCCCAAAGAUGUAGAUAGGGACUCAGUGGGGAUUUUCAAGUGCACUGAAGCAGAUUAUAUAGCUUAUUCUCAUUGAAAGUGCAAAUAUUAAAUGCUGCAUCUUGCCCUUUGCCCUCUCAAGGGAUGUCACAAGUGACUUGUCCUACACUCUGGGUCUUUUAGACACACAGAUUGCCUGUGAUGCAUACGGGACACUGGGAUUCCACGCAGCGGGGUUCUGAACUCAAGGUGUUGUUUCACGUGAGGCCUAGGUUCAGAUGAAAUUAAAAUAAACAAAAAAUAUUAAAAUCAACAUUUGCCCUUGGAAAAGUUCAAUUAGGAUUAAAUUGCAUUUUCCAAAGGGAAUAUUUUUUGGUGCAACACUCUUUAGCUACUCCUUUUGGGAUAGACUAUUGCCUGCCUUCUAGCUGCUUCCCAAAGGAAGUGAGAAACAAGGACUCCCUGUUCUUCUUACGUUCUGAAGCAUUUAGACCCUUUUGUCCUGAUGGCAUCAUGGACAAACUGAGUACAGACAUGAAUGUGCUCACUGUAUCAGAGGGCUUCACUGACUCAGAAAGCAGGAGGGAAUGUGCAGUGAUGAGUGUAAAUUUGAUAUUUGCAUCAUGUGGGUAUCAAAUUUAUGCCUGAUUAGUUACUGCCCAGUAAUGCACAUGCAGACACCUUAUUACUGUGUGUGUGGACUAUCUUGGGACUAACUUUAGCCCCAAGUCAGUCCACACACAGUGUUAAUGUGCUUUAGCACCUGCACAUGUAGAUGCUGGCCUAUUCUCUCUUACUUUGCGGUAAAUAUAAACUGGCCUAGAUGCAUGUGUAGAUACAGUCAGUGUAGAUCUGUCCCCCCAUGGCAAUAACAGACUCCUCCAGCUAGUGGAAGUCAGUAUUGGUGUUUUAGAGUCAACACCUAUUGAUAGCAAGCAGGAUCAACCAAAGCUUUAUUAGAGAUAUCUAGCUGCUGUAAUUUGGUGUCACUUCAUUCAUGCUGAUUGUCUUUUUGACUGGAAGGGUGUUCAUAACUGCAGUUUGGGGCCCUUAUGUGUCUGUGCCCAUGACAGGUAGGCACAUCAAAUGAAAGGGGAUUCUGCCGUAAGGGGUUUGAAGCAAUGGGGGCAGAUUUCUGUUGCAGCAGAGGACCAGCCCCCCUUGAUGUGUGUGUGUGUGUGUGUGUGUGUGUGUGCAGAGCCCAGAUCUCCACUGGGGUAGGGAAGGUGUGUAUGUUUGUAUAGCACAUCACAUGACAGGGCCUUGAACCUAGCUGGUGUGAGGACUGCCCGGUGCAUAAAUGAAUAAUAAGUUGUUGUGAGUGACCAUCUUGGUGGGUUAGUAUGUUUUUUUUCAUUAUCCUGCUGUUGGGGGACCUGGAGGGAGGGCCAUGUUCCACUUUAAAAGUGUGCUGCCAAAGGAAAUGAAAACACAAGGCAAAGUUGUGUGUAAAGUAGUUUUAU
This is a long non-coding RNA of Alligator mississippiensis (American alligator), 5264 nucleotides long. RefSeq lists it as uncharacterized. The record is from RefSeq and is a predicted model, not a curated record. Lineage: Eukaryota; Metazoa; Chordata; Crocodylia; Alligatoridae. The transcript has 3 exons.